Sapajus apella (tufted capuchin) is the source of this 750-nucleotide RNA transcript. It is a transcript of the gene named spermidine synthase pseudogene, with no coding region annotated. The record is from RefSeq and is a predicted model, not a curated record. NCBI's taxonomy places the organism in Eukaryota, Metazoa, Chordata, Mammalia, Primates, Cebidae. The transcript has a single exon.
GCGGAGCUGGUCCCAUUGUGCUGCGGCUCCGUGCGGCCUGCAGUCCCGGGCCGGCGCCCCACGCUGCCCGCCCACCCGCCAUGGAGUCCGGCCCCGACAGCCCAGCCGCCUCCGGCCCCACUGCCAUCCGCGAGGGCUGGUUCUGCGAGACCUGCAGCCUGUGGCCUGGCCAGGCCCUGUCACUGCAGGUGGAGCAGCUGCUCCACCACCGGCGAUCGCGCUACCAGGACAUCCUAGUCUUCCGCAGUAAGACCUAUGGCAACGUGCUGGUGUUGGACGGUGUCAUCCAAUGCACAGAGAGGGAUGAGUUCUCCUACCACAAGAUAAUCAACCUGCCUCUCUGCAGCCACCCCAACCCGCGAAAGGUGCUGAUCAUCGGGGGCGGAGACGGAGGCUUCCUGCGCGAGGUGGUGAAGCACCCCUCCAUGGAGUCCGUGGUCCAGUGUGAGAUCCACGAGGAUGUCAUCCAAAUCUCCAAGAAGUUCCUGCCAGGGAUGGCCAUUGGCUAUUCUAGCUCGAAGCUGACCCUACACGUGGGUGAUGGUUUUGAGUUCAUGAAACAGAAUCAGGACGCCUUUGAUGUGAUCAUCACUGACUCCUCAGACCCCAUGGGCCCCACCGAAAGUCUCUUCAAAGAGUCCUAUUACCAGCUCAUGAAGACGGCCCUCAAAGAACAUGGCGUCCUCUGCUGCCAGGGUGAGUGCCAGUGGCUGCACCUGGACCUCAUCAAGGAGAUAUAGACAUUUACAG